GAUGAACGCUAGCUACAGGCUUAACACCUGCAAGUCGAGGGGAAACGGCAUUUAGUGCUUGCACCGAAUGGACGUCGACCGGCGCACGGGUGAGUAACGCGUAUCCAACCUUCCCAUAACUAAGGAAUAACCUGCCGAAAGGUAGACUAAUACCUUAUGUAAUCCUUUGAUGGCAUCAGAUAAGGAUAAAAGAUUUAUCGGUUAUGGAUGGGGAUGCGUCUGAUUAGCUUGUUGGCGGGGUAACGGCCCACCAAGGCAACGAUCAGUAGGGGUUCUGAGAGGAAGGUCCCCCACAUUGGAACUGAGACACGGUCCAAACUCCUACGGGAGGCAGCAGUGAGGAAUAUUGGUCAAUGGACGAAAGUCUGAACCAGCCAAGUAGCGUGCAGGAUGACGGCCCUAUGGGUUGUAAACUGCUUUUGUAUGGGGAUAAAGUCAAUCACGUGUGAUUGUUUGCAGGUACCAUACGAAUAAGGACCGGCUAAUUCCGUGCCAGCAGCCGCGGUAAUACGGAAGGUUCGGGCGUUAUCCGGAUUUAUUGGGUUUAAAGGGAGCGUAGGCCGGAGAUUAAGUGUGUUGUGAAAUGUAGACGCUCAACGUCUGACUUGCAGCGCAUACUGGUUUCCUUGAGUACGCACAACGUUGGCGGAAUUCGUCGUGUAGCGGUGAAAUGCUUAGAUAUGACGAAGAACUCCGAUUGCGAAGGCAGCUGACGGGAGCGCAACUGACGCUGAAGCUCGAAGGUGCGGGUAUCGAACAGG
RNAcentral lists this ribosomal RNA (761 nucleotides) under Prevotella melaninogenica. Its description in RNAcentral is "bacterial SSU rRNA". It matches the Rfam family "Bacterial small subunit ribosomal RNA", at positions 28 to 776 of the family's 1533-position model. The record is from RNAcentral. Lineage: Bacteria; Pseudomonadati; Bacteroidota; Bacteroidia; Bacteroidales; Prevotellaceae.